RNAcentral lists this ribosomal RNA (283 nucleotides) under uncultured Dialister sp. RNAcentral describes it as "partial 16S ribosomal RNA". It matches the Rfam family "Bacterial small subunit ribosomal RNA", at positions 77 to 339 of the family's 1533-position model. The record is from RNAcentral. Lineage: Bacteria; Bacillati; Bacillota; Negativicutes; Veillonellales; Veillonellaceae.
AGCUUGCUCUUUAUCAAAUCCAGUGGCAAACGGGUGAGUAACACGUAAACAACCUGCCUUCAGGAUGGGGACAACAGACGGAAACGACUGCUAAUACCGAAUACGUUCCACGGGCCGCAUGACCUGUGGAAGAAAGGGUAGCCUCUACCUGUAAGCUAUCGCCUGAAGAGGGGUUUGCGUCUGAUUAGGCAGUUGGUGGGGUAACGGCCCACCAAACCAACGAUCAGUAGCCGGUCUGAGAGGAUGAACGGCCACACUGGAACUGAGACACGGUCCAGACUCC